CGGGAGUGAGGUUCCAGGAUGCCACAGCCCUGGGCAAUGAAGACAACAAGUUCAUCUUGAAUAGAUGGAUCUGAUUCACCUGACCUUAGGAGGAAUACACUGAAUUAUUUUUCAUGCUAGAGCAUAUUCCCAGGGCGCUGGGGCAGAGACCACGUCCUAAACCCAACUCAAAUGUGGGCUGUGCUCUUGGCUGAAGAAAAGCAUGGAAAGCAGUUGGGGACCUGCAUCCCCAAGACUGUCAGCCCUUCCAGAUAGCUGUGCCCUCAGCCCAGGAGGACUCAGCCAAUGAAGACUCAGCUAAUGAAAGCUCAGCAUGGAGGUGGCAAAGGGCUGCAGCCCCACCGAACUCUUUGCCUCCAGGCGCUGUGGUGGUGAAGAACUGAAAUACACAAACCUUGGGGCUUCCCCUUGUCCCUGAAACUGCAGAAGAUG
Molecule: long non-coding RNA, 432 nt
Filed under: Homo sapiens (human)
Lineage: Eukaryota; Metazoa; Chordata; Mammalia; Primates; Hominidae
Description: HSALNT0229087
Source: RNAcentral